Molecule: ribosomal RNA, 832 nt
Filed under: uncultured bacterium
Lineage: Bacteria
Description: bacterial SSU rRNA
Rfam family: Bacterial small subunit ribosomal RNA
Source: RNAcentral
GUGGCGCACGGGUGAGUAACAUGUGGGAAUAUGCCUUUUGGUACGGAACAACGUUUGGAAACGAACGCUAAUACCGUAUGGUCCCUCCGGGGUAAAGAUUUAUCGCCAAAAGAUUAGCCCGCACUAGAUUAGCUAGUUGGUGAGGUAAGAGCUCACCAAGGCGACGAUCUAUAGCUGGUCUGAGAGGACGAUCAGCCACACUGGGACUGAGACACGGCCCAGACUCCUACGGGAGGCAGCAGUUAGGAAUAUUGGACAAUGGGCGCAAGCCUGAUCCAGCCAUGCCGCGUGAACGAUGAAGGCCUUCGGGUUGUAAAGUUCUUUAGCCGACGAAUAUAAUGACUGUAGUCGGAAAAUAAGCCCCGGCUAACUUCGUGCCAGCAGCCGCGGUAAUACGAAGGGGGCGAGCGUUAUUCGGAAUCACUGGGCGUAAAGCGUGCGUAGGCUGUUUUGUAAGUCAGAAGUGAAAGCCCAGGGCUCAACCCUGGAAUUGCUUUUGAAACUACGAGACUUGAAUUCGGGAGAGGAUAGCGGAAUUGUCAGUGUAGCAGUGAAAUGCGUAGAUAUUGACAGGAACACCAGUGGCGAAAGCGGCUAUCUGGACCGACAUUGACGCUGAGGCACGAAAGCGUGGGGAGCAAACAGGAUUAGAUACCCUGGUAGUCCACGCCGUAACGAUGUGAGUUUGUCGUUGGGGGUCUUAGACCUUCAGUGACGUAGUUAACGCGUUAAACUCACCGCCUGGGAAGUACGGCCGCAAGGUUAAAACUCAAAGGAAUUGACGGGGACCCGCACAAGCGGUGGAGUAUGUGGUUUAAUUCGUCGCAACGCG